Puntigrus tetrazona (Sumatra barb) is the source of this 2221-nucleotide long non-coding RNA. RefSeq lists it as uncharacterized. The transcript has 4 exons. Lineage: Eukaryota; Metazoa; Chordata; Actinopteri; Cypriniformes; Cyprinidae. The record is from RefSeq and is a predicted model, not a curated record.
GCGGAAGAACAUUAUAGCCGGAGCUACUUCUUUUCUGUUUACGUCUAUGGCGAAUCACACGGUUACCUGGUUAUUCCGCAGCGAACGAGGUAGUAGCCAGACGACUUCUUUCCAGUGGAGGAGCCCAUCUGCUCCACAUCCCAUGGCAGGCAGGAUAUGUUACACCCUGUAAACAACGUGCGCGGAAUUACUUUCAUCUGUCUAUUUUGAAAUGCACACCUGAGUUCUUCUACACACAGAAGAAGGAGCUCACUAAAAGCUGGACACUGGAGGAUUGUGGAUGGAGGAUCAAGAAGCCUGUUCCUGAUGUUUGCGAAGCAUUGUUAUUGCACAUAAGCCCCUUUAAGGUUCCCCAGAGAGUCGCCCACACUGUUCUUCAACUCCUCCUUCCCCGGUUUGAGCUUCUCCUUUAGCCCCGCAAACCCCCCCAGUGGCAUUUCUCCUUCCCUUGCUCUUCCGUCCCUCAAACACGUCUGAGCAGGAUAUCCACUAGGCGCUGGUGCGCAUCCUCUCCUGUGCUGGACUGAGAUGGUCUAGGUGUACUGGAGGGGAGGAGGAGAGAUGCCGAGCCAGAGACGGAACAGAGAGGAAGAAGAGGAGGGACUUUGGUUUGGAUGGUCUGGGUACAAUCCUUCAUGCGGUUUGGGCUGAGAACAUCCAAAAACGAGGCACAAAGUGAGGAAUGGGGCGAAUCCGGUUGUCUUCGGGUCAGUGUAUCGGCAUUGUGAAAGUUAUGCUAGCGUACAUCAAUAAUGGAAACUCCGGAGUUCUCCUCAGCUCCCUCACAGACACUGACAGAAGAUGCCGAACACCUGCCUCUUCUCACCCCUCCCUUCUUGGUCUCGUCCACACGAAAGCAGGCCGAAAAGAGUGUCUAGCAGAGCUCAUUAAAUAUUGACAGCGAAGUCAAGGAUCGCAGGCUCUGGGUUGUAUGAUACGAGCAGGUGUAACAAGACACUGCGUCCUCUGGUCCCAGUCUAACCCUUAUCCCGAGAAACAGCUCCAGGGGUUCAUGGGUCAAACGUAUCAACGUCAACAACCAAACACUGACAUAAAGGUUCAAACUGUGAGGGCCGCUAGUUUAUGCACAAAAGUCAGAUAUGCAAUCCUGAUCUAUUGCUUCUGUAAGGGGAGGACUGCACCUUUUUCCUGUGAAAGUUGCUUUUAUGCAAUAAUCAUCAAAAAUGCAGCGUGCUUUAAAAAUUCAGAUAUUGAGGUCUAAAAAAUUCAUUGUUAGUCUGCACCGCUCUCAGGCUGUGUUUCACUGAUGCUUGCUGUAGGAGUCUCAGUAGUCUGUUUGCCAUGAAUAAAAUCUGGAGCUUCCUCACUAAAGGUCUGCCGUUCAAGUGCAAAGGGUCAUAAAUUACUGAAAGACAGGGGUUAACUUUCUUACACAAUUGAAAUGGACAUAAAUAUGCUUUAUCUACAAAAGGUGAACCAAAACAAUAAUAAAAAUAAUGAAAUAUACCAUUAAAAAAAAUAAUAAGUAUGCAUAGGAACAUCAAUGUCUGCAAGUCUGAACUCCACGCUGCGGUGUUGGAGCAAUUUUAAUGUACAGUACAGACUUAUAUUGGGAAAAAACUGCUCACUUGUAUUGAACAUACUCAUUUUCAAUGAACCAUAUUAUCUUUAUUUACACAUACUGACCUGAACACGCUGUCAUUAUGGUUUUAACAGGUUUCAUAUAUCCUCAUUACAUGACAACACAGUAGGGAUGACCAUGACACAUCGAUUUGGCAAUUUAUUUAUUUUUCACAUUUUUGUAAUAUUUUGCACUUUACAACAAGGUUCAUUAAUGAACAUUAGUUAACAAAAUUAGCUAACAUGAAUAAGAAUGAACAAAUACGGCAUUUAGUAAUAUUAGUUCAUCUCAGCAUUUGCCAAUGCUUUAUAAAAUUGCGAGUUGUGUUCGCUAACAUUAGUUAAUGCAUUGUGAACUAACACGAACUUUCAACGAAUGACUGUAUUUUCAUUAACGUUAACAAAGACAAAAAAAAUUGUAAUGUAUUUUUUACUGUGCAUGUUAGUUAACAUAUUAACUGAUGUUAACAAAUGACACCUUAUUGUAAAGUGUUACUGCAAAACUAUAUAUGAAUUUUAUUAAAUGUUUAUUAAUGACAAAAGGGUAUGUCUAUUACAUAUACCAACUGUUCUUUUCAAGAGAUUAAGCCUUGUGAUUAUUAUUGUUAUUAUCUCUGUAAAAUUAGACUGCACAACUUUA